CCGAGUGACUUCUAUUUUGGGUAUGUGUUCAAUCUGCUUUGAAGUCAAAGGAGCUCUCCAAGGUGCUGACCCUAUUUAGAGAUGAGAUUUCGGACUAUAUAUGGUAAUACUUCAUCUUCACCGGUGUUCAGCCCAGACCUGAAAGGAGUUUUCCGAUGUGUCUCUAAAUCUGUAGGUCGUGAUGCCGAGUGACUUCUAUUUUGGGUACGUGUUCAAUCUGCUUUGAAGUCAAAGGAGCUCUCCAAGGUGCUGACCCUAUUUAGAGACGAGAUUUCAGCACGCUGGAGAGCUCCUUUCAGGUCUGGAGUGAAAGCUGGUGCAGAUGCUCCAGUAUGAGCUUCCUGUGUGGCCCAGCAUUUUCUUCAUUUUCUUCAUGGGUAUGGCAUGCGAUCAAGGCUCACACUCAUUCACCCUCCUCUGGCACAAGAGAUGAGAACCGCCAGGAUGCUGCCUUGAUCGGAAUGUGUGAUGGCUGCACAUCUGGCGAGCUUGUCAUAUCUGUAAUGGGCCAGAUGACACCAAACAGUCAAAUGCAGAAUAUCCUUAACAAGGUCGGAGAGAGCUGGCAGGAAGGGCUCCGGGCUAAUUCAGUGAUGACACUGAUGUGACAGAGCCUCGGAGACAGAAGAAGCCCACCAGGCAUUGGUCGGGGAGGAAAGAGAGGACGACAUACGGAGAUAUACGUUUUGUUCCUGGAAAAGGCUGUAUUUUGCCAGCUUUGUUCUGGUGCAGAGCUUGAGGGGCAAUGGAGAUGGAAAAGGAGAGCGAUGGAGGGGAUCAAGGUUGCCUUACCAACUCCAUGGCACGUCAGUAAUCGGAUACAUUUCUGCCAAUGAUGAACAAGUUUUCUGAAGCUGUCAUGGAAGAAGUCGACACUCUGUUUCCGCAACCGACGUCUCACAGGACCCAUCGUGCACAGAUCUUCCGAUAGCCAAGCAAAACAAUAAUGUGACCCACAUGUUCUUGUAAAAUGCCGAUUAUGCUUGAAAUUUCUCUCUGAGUGAUACGACGAUCAUCCUGAAUCAAUCUGUCAACCUUUUGCUUGUGAAACUCGGUGGUUGCUGUCACAGGACGUCCAACUUUUUGUUUGUCACACAAGUCAGAUGUUCCCACCUCAACAUCUUUAAACUUACUUGCCCAAUGAUGCACAGGACUCACAUCAACACAAUCCCCAUAAACAGCUUGCAUUCUCUGAUGAAUCUCCUUUGGGGUCAAGAAUUCAAUGACUGCAUGUUGCUUCAGUCACAUUGACCGACCGUCUGCACAGGGUUCCAUACUUCGCACUUUAACAACACAAAUGUUCAGUGCUAAGGCUUCCUGCCAAAUGGAACUAACUGCAGAGGAGAGUCUACUGAACAAGCCAGGACCUGUUGCAGACCAGGACUGUAAUCUAUUGAGGACUUACGAAGGUGGAGGCAUUACUUUUCAUUCAACCCUCGUACUGUGUUUUAAUCUGAUUUAUUUUAUUUGAUCUGUUUGGUAGAUAGUGUUUAUUUACGUUUUAACUCUGUUCAUAUUUUGUUUUUUGGCUUUCCCCCAUGUUAGCUGCUCUGAGUCCCUUCGGGGAGAUGGAGGCGGGAUAGAAAAAUAAAGUUAUAAUAUUAUUAUUAUUCCUCCAUUCACCACUGAAAAUGUUGCUUAGGAGUUGGAAGCAGGUCUUUGAGGAGCGGGAGGCAGAUCUUUCAAUGCCUUCCUGGGGAUGAGCAAAGUCAGAAUAAAUUAUGCAAAAAAAAAGUCCAAACAAGGCCCCGCUGUUUGUAUUCUCGUGAUGUCAAAGCCCAGGUUUUUUCUUCCAGAACUGCCCAGGAACGAGGUGUGUUCCCGAGGCACUGGGGUGGAAUAACAAAUCUUGUCUCACCAGGGAGAGGAAAAAAAAUGAGAGCAUCGACCGACGAUCCUGCCUUCGUUAAUUAACAAAGGGAACGUGAGGAAGAAAGGUGAGGAGACACGGGUAAUUUUAUGCACUGCCAGUCAGGCCCAUCUCUCCACCCAAAGGAAGCUCCAACUUCUUUUUGUGCUGUUUUCUCUGUUUUUCCAAGACAGAGUGUUGAAAGCAAAAGAGGGAGGUGAAAAGGGAAUCUGUUGCAAGAUUAGAAACCAAACUGAUUGGGGAAAAAGGAGAACAGGUAGCAGUCAUUUUUAAUAUUCCGAGGAUACAUUUUCUCCUUCUUAAUAAAUAAAACCCAAAGGUGCUUCUGGUUUAUUAGCUUCUAUUUUGGGAAGUGUUUCUGGAGAUGACCAGCUGAGUCAAACAUGGAUGCCAGUGCCUCAGUUUCCCUUUUCACUGGCUUACUUGAGAACUCACACUGAUAAAAGUCAAUUGUGGCUGUUUGGAGAGUUAGCACAUACUGUGUUUCCCCGAAAAUAAGACAGUGUCCUAUAUUAAUUUUUGCUCCCAAAGAUGCGCUAGGUCUUAUUUUCAGGGGAUGUCUUAGUUUUCCAUGAAGAAAAAUUCACAUUUAUUGUUGAACAAAAAAAUGAACAUUUAUUAUAUACUGUACAGUAGUUGUCAUCACAAACCAGCAUAACCAGACAAACUGUGAAUCCUAUCAAGAAUUUCUUGUUACUACCAUUAUUUCCAUGUACAACGUUUACCAAUCCUGCAUGCUCUUGUGUUUUGUUCGGUGGGCAUGCUUAUCAGCAAAAACUUUGCUAGGUCUUACUUUCGGGGGAGGCCUUAUAUUUAGCAAUUCAGCAAAACUUCUACUAGGUCUUAUUUUUGGGGGAUGUCUUAUUUUAGGGGAAACAGGGUACUUACAAACAUACAUAGUUUCAUACUACUUUAACCUUUGGAGCUACAGCAGUGCUUCUUUGGCUAUUGAUGUGAAGGAUCAUAUACAUAAUAAUGUUAACAAUAAUAUAAACAAUAAUACAACUGAUGACCAAAUUCAGUCAGCUGUAGUGGCACGCAGUCGUAACUUACAGAAUAGUAACUUACAGAGUAUAAAGAUUUAUAGACAGCAAUCAUCCCAGAUUUAAAUGUUACACAGAGCAGUUUUCAGUAUAGAACAUAUAUCAGACAUAUAUCAACAAGACUCCAACUAAAAUUUGUUAGCAACACAGUAUGUGUACAUUCGGUCUCUCCAAAAUGGUAUGUAAUAUGCUGUGAAACUAAAUAUAUCAGUAUACAAAUCAAUUGGCUCAAACCUGGCUUGAAGUCAAAACAAAUCAAAGUCUCUGUAGUCUUGAAGCAGUUCUAUAGGAUUCCUCAGGUUGUAAAUGCAGUCAAUUAGCCGUAGCUUCAGUUUGUUGACAAUAAAUUCAGUUUUUCAGAGAUAAGCUUCCAAAUAGGGGAACAAAUGUUGCAGUCGUUUACAGUUCCCAGCCAGGAAGCCCAGUCAAAUAGAUGUUAUUUUAGAGUGGCUGGCUGUGAGCCAAAGUAAGCCAUUUACGUAACCCGUUUACUACUGGUUCCCAGGUUUACUCCAGUUUCAGUUAACCUUUCAUCUGGUAAGUGGCAAUGUUUUGAAUAUCUGUAUUGUUGGCUCAGCAUUAAGUUUUAUGUUCGCAGUGUCUACGUGCUGAUUGUGGAUUCUAUAGUGCGAGUCUGGAGAGACUGUGGAUGAGCUCCCUCUGUCAACUCUAGCUCCCCAUGCGGGGACAUGAGAAAAGACUCCCACAGGAUGGUAAAACAUCAAACAUCCGGGCACUGUCCCCUGGGCAACGUCCUUGCAGACGGCAAAUUCUCCCACACCAGAAGCAACUUGCAGCUUCUCAAGUGGCUCCUGACCUGAAAAAAACAAACAAAAAAAGUCCAGAGACAACUUUUUUGACUAGCCCUAUCUUAAUAAAUCUCGGCUUCUGUAGUUUGGUGAAGGACUCAGCAUUUUCUUCUCAAGAACUUCAGCACUUGCCUACAGAGAACCCCUUAUAAACCAGAGGAUCAGAACCUUGGAUAGGUCCAUGGACGCUCAGCUCAAAAUGAAUUGACUAUGCCACUUACGAGGUGUCUUUGUUGUUGGUUACAUUGUUUCUGACCUAUGGCAGCCUUAAGGCAACUCUACCACAGGGGUUUCUUGGCAAAAUGAGGGCUGACAUAUAAAGAUGUGACAAUGGGGCAAAGGAAGAUGAACGGAAGUCUUUUCUUUCUUUUUUAUAUUUCUUUUUAUAGGGUAGGUGGGUUGGAGGGGGAGACCUUUUACUUUAUUCUUUCAUUUCUUCACUUUCUUUAAGAAACUUGUUCUCACUCUUUUGCUGCAUACCUUUGGAAAAACUUAAUAAAAAUCAUUAAAAAAAUUAUAUAUUGCAACUAUAGAAUGGGUGGACAACUUCUGGUCCCUCUGACAGUUUGGACUAGAACUCCCGCUUCUACUUUCUGCUCUCCAUAUUGUCUGGAGCUUCAGGGGAUUUGUAGACCAACUUCUUUGAAAGCUAAAACCUUCUCCAGACUUGGAUACUUCUGUCACACCUCAGGUUAGCUUCACCUUGCUGUAUACACCAAACUGCACAUAGGUUGAAGUCUUUUCAGUUUAUUAGAAAAUAGAAGAUAAAAAGUUCUUAAAAAGCAAAAGUAAAGUUCCAAAAGUUCAUUACAAAAUAAAGCCUUGGAGCACAAUUCAGAAAAUCACAAGGAAUGAACAAAGUCCCAUUAAAGCAUGACAAAGUCCCAGGAACAUGAACACAUACUAUCCAGGAAAAUGAGAGCUUGCUUCUUGGUUGAAUGAAAGUUGCUUUGACAAAGGUUUGUCUCCAAACAUACUGCUUUAAUACCCUUUGCAAAACAUGAAAGCAUUUCUCUGGCCUCUAACCUCCCUCUUGUUUGCGAUUCUCACAUUCCUCCGAACCCUGAAUUCUAAACGGUCAGCCCGAUCUAGGGGGCCCGUUUCAUCAAGGUCAGCCUACUCGUUAGUUUGCUGAGCCUCGUUAUCAGAGUGAGAACUGUCCUCCUUUUCUAAGUCAAUUUGCACCUGGCUAGUUUCAGUAUCAUCAACACCAUUCCUUGCUGUGGGAAAAUGAACUUGCACUCUCUGUUCCUCAUCUUCUACAACAGGGACAUUUUGAACCUGAUUUUGAACCUGAAUCCCAUCAUCCUCAUCAAAGUCAAUCUGAGGUUCCAGCUGAGUCACAACAGCUUCUGCUUAGACCUCCCUGUUGGUAAAACGCUUCCCAUCCGACCAGGUUAAAGACUGUACAACAUCCUUUUGGCCGGCCGGCCGGGAUUGUGAAAACACGAUUUGUGUGCUGAGUUUGCCAAGUUUGGUGAGGGAUAUGGAGAUCAAAGCGCUCAAAGCACUCGCCUCCAGCAUUUUAAUUGGUUUUGCAAAGAAAGGGAAAGUACCCUGGCCCUUUGCCCCGUCUUUAACCCUGUCUCUCUAUCCCUAUGUAAAACGUCAGCUCAUCUGCCUGUCACCGGUUUCAAACCCUCCUGUUAUUUAGAACAAUGCUCCGCUCUGUCUGUCACCAGUCAUGUUAUCCAUCUCUCGCCCUCCCCCAGCUCAACCUUGUAUUUUUUGAGGUGAUUACACAAUACAGCUCAGGAGCUUUGCCAUGAAAGCAGAUGUUCUAUUUAUCUACUACUCUGCAUUCAGCUUCUAUCCGAAAGCUCUUCUGCUUUAUUAGCAUUGCUGCCUUGAAUUCAUUCUUACUUGGGCCUUCCUGAUUCCCACUUUAACUGCUUUGGAAACAUCCAGCGGAAGCCUGCAGACUGCGUUUCAGGGGAUGGCACUGAGAAAUCGCAGCCAGAGAGCUCUAGUUUCUAAGUACCACACCAAACUACAAAUCCCAGGAACGUAAAAUGAAAUUAUAGUGCUAUAAUUGAGUAGUGCAAAUGUGGUGUCUUGAUGUGGAUCCCCUUUCUUGCUCUGGUCUUUUGAACAACGUUUGGACAACAUUAACCUCGUCCAAAUAUUAUCCAAAGCCAACAAAGGGGAUUUUGGGAUCUGUAGUGGUCCAAAGGAUGAAACUAUAAGAUGGGGUCUCUUUGGCAUUUGCUCCCAAGGGCUUCCUUCCUUCCCCAACAGACAAUUAGUAGAUUGUGGUUCCCAAUCCCUUGAUGAAAUGUUCUGACUGUAACUAUGUCUAUUUUAACUGAAUUGUUUUGCCUUGUUAUGGUGUGUUUAUUAUGCCUGCUGUGUUUCAAGUUGUUGUUUGUUGUUUUGACAAUUGACUGUUUUUGCAUACAUGUUGGAAACCGCCCUGAGUCCUCUUGAGGAGAUAGAGUGGUAUAUAAAUAAAGUUGUUUGUUGUUAUUAUUAUUAUUAUUAUCAUUAUUAUUAUUAUUUGCUGUGUUUCAAGUUGUUGUCUGUUGUUUUGACAAUUGACUGUUUUUGCAUACAUGUUGGAAACCGCCCUGAGUCCUCUCAAGGAGAUAUAGCGGUAUAUAAUAAUAAUAAUAAUAAUAAUAAUAAUAAUAAUAAUAAUAAUUUAUUGUGUUUCAAGUUGUUGUAUGUUGUUUUGACAAUUGACUGUCUUUGCAUACAUGUUGGAAACCGCCCUGAGUCCUCUCGAGGAGAUACAGCAAUAUAUAAAUAAAGUUUUUAACUAUUAUUAUUAUUGUUAUUAUUUGCUGUAUUUCAAGUUGUUUUAUGUUGUUUUGACAAUUGAUCGUUUUUGCAUACAUGUUGGAAACCGCCCUGAGUCCUCUCGACGAGAUAAAGCAGUAUAUAAAGUUUAUUAUUAUUAUUAUUAUUAUUAUUAUUAUUAUUAUUAUUAUUAUUAUUUGCUGUGUUUCAAGUUGUUGUAUGUUGUUUUGAGAAUUGACUGUUUUUGCAUACAUGUUGGAAACCGUCCUGAGUCCUCUCGAGGAGAAAGAGCGGAAUAUAUAUAUAAGGAUUAUUUAUUAUUAUUAUUAUUAUUAUUAUUAUUAUUUUAUUAUGACACAGCAAACAAGAUAGAUAUGCUGGAUUUUGUAUCACAAAAUAACAAGUCGAACACUUCCCAAGUGUCUAGGACUGUGUGAUGUAUAUUAUUAUUAUUAUUAUUAUUAUUAUUAUUAUUAUUAUUAUUAUUUAUUGUGUAAAGGGGUCUUUGAACAUGUG
Molecule: long non-coding RNA, 6977 nt
Organism: Anolis carolinensis (green anole)
Lineage: Eukaryota; Metazoa; Chordata; Lepidosauria; Squamata; Anolidae
Exons: 2
Source: RefSeq, a predicted model, not a curated record